GAGUUUGAUCCUGGCUCAGAUUGAACGCUGGCGGCAGGCUUAACACAUGCAAGUCGAGCGGAAACGAUGGUAGCUUGCUACCAGGCGUCGAGCGGCGGACGGGUGAGUAAUACUUAGGAAUCUACCUAGUAGUGGGGGAUAGCACGGGGAAACUCGUAUUAAUACCGCAUACGACCUACGGGAGAAAGGGGGCAGUUUACUGCUCUCGCUAUUAGAUGAGCCUAAGUCGGAUUAGCUAGAUGGUGGGGUAAAGGCCUACCAUGGCGACGAUCUGUAGCUGGUCUGAGAGGAUGAUCAGCCACACCGGGACUGAGACACGGCCCGGACUCCUACGGGAGGCAGCAGUGGGGAAUAUUGGACAAUGGGGGAAACCCUGAUCCAGCCAUGCCGCGUGUGUGAAGAAGGCCUUUUGGUUGUAAAGCACUUUAAGCAGUGAAGAAGACUCCGUGGUUAAUACCCACGGACGAUGACAUUAGCUGCAGAAUAAGCACCGGCUAACUCUGUGCCAGCAGCCGCGGUAAUACAGAGGGUGCAAGCGUUAAUCGGAAUUACUGGGCGUAAAGGGAGCGUAGGUGGCUCGAUAAGUCAGAUGUGAAAUCCCCGGGCUCAACCUGGGAACUGCAUCUGAUACUGUUGAGCUAGAGUAUGUGAGAGGAAGGUAGAAUUCCAGGUGUAGCGGUGAAAUGCGUAGAGAUCUGGAGGAAUACCGAUGGCGAAGGCAGCCUUCUGGCAUAAUACUGACACUGAGGCUCGAAAGCGUGGGUAGCAAACAGGAUUAGAUACCCUGGUAGUCCACGCCGUAAACGAUGUCUACUAGUCGUUGGGUCCCUUGAGGACUUAGUGACGCAGCUAACGCAAUAAGUAGACCGCCUGGGGAGUACGGCCGCAAGGUUAAAACUCAAAGGAAUUGACGG
RNAcentral lists this ribosomal RNA (914 nucleotides) under uncultured Psychrobacter sp. Its description in RNAcentral is "bacterial SSU rRNA". It matches the Rfam family "Bacterial small subunit ribosomal RNA", at positions 9 to 916 of the family's 1533-position model. The record is from RNAcentral. Lineage: Bacteria; Pseudomonadati; Pseudomonadota; Gammaproteobacteria; Moraxellales; Moraxellaceae.